GCUAGGGCGCCGGGAGAGUUCCCUAGUGGCAGCGCGCUGGCCCUGGGCUCUGGACUCCCACCUGGAACCCUCUCCAGGGACGCGGCGGAGGCGGGAAGGCGGGCGAUGGAGAGCGGGGAAGACCAGAGACAGGGUCUUGCCAUGUUGUCCAGGCUGGUCUUGAACUCCUGGCCUCAAGAAAUCUUCCCAUCUCAGCUUCCCAAAAAGCUGGGAUUACAGGCAUGAGCCACCACACCUGGCUGGAAAGGCUUCCGGUCUGUUGCUCAGAUUGGCCUCAGAAACUCCUGGGCUGAAGCUAUCUCGCCUCCCGAGUAGCUGGGAUCACAGGCACGUGCCACACUGCCCAACUUAAACUCUGUCCUUUUUACAAAGACCGAAUGACAGGGAGCUGCUCAGGUGGCUUGGUCUCCUACGGAAGGCAAAGCGUGAUCAUGAUCCUGUCAAGAAUGAGUUAUCUGCAUCCAGUUCCCCCAAAUGUAGCUAACUGCCCAAAUUCCUGCUCCCUCCAGGCUACCGAGCAAGAUCAUCAGCAAGGUUACACAGGGUUAGCUCUCCGCCCCUGAGCAAGACUUUGUCAGGACAAGGGCUUCGUAAAGCACAGAAGACUUGAAUUUUACCUGCGUGGGGAGGCCGAGGCAGGAAGAUGGCUUGAGCCCAGGAUUUUGAGGCUGGCGCUAUGCUCAUGUCUGUGAAUAGCCACUGCACUCCAGCCUGGGCAGCAUGUCAAGACCCCAUCUCUGGGGGGGGGAGGGGGAAGAGAGAAGACAUAAAUUUACCCCAAGGGAGUCUAGUAUUGAAAGUCGGAGCUGACUUUAAAAACCAAAACACAGUUGUCCCUGAAUAUUCUAGGCUUUUUGGAUAGCUCUCCAAGAAUCUGUCACUCGUAAGUUUAAAUACAUGCUGAGAGUUAAAAGCUAUGAUGUUCGGUUGUGUGUGUACUAGUGAAUUGAUAAAGCUUUUCACUCGAGUCAGUAGGCUAUAAAUUAGGUCCAAAGAGACUUACAAAAUCCACUGUUGUCUGUUGACAGCAUUUCAUGCAUACCCCUUGCUAUGCCUAAGAAUGCCCGUUACUGUCGUUGCUUCUACACACAAUACAGGCUCCCUCCACUCGAGCAGAGUGGGCAGUGGCCACAGGACAUGGAUUUUAUUCCCUCCAUGAUCAGAGCAUCCGGUAGUGCUUGGCUUCUUUCAGUUUAAUGAAGCCUUUAACAAGUGGUUGCAAGCUGUACCAGAGGGAGACAAUCCUCACAGCCGUCCUCAGGUGUUCCUGACGUAAGUCUGCCGUUGCGUCUGUGGCCUGCUGCCCUAGCUGUAGGGUUUCUCAGCAGGUUGUUGUGUCUUGUCCCCAGAGCACUACUAGUCUACUCUGCAGCGCUGGGAAGCCUGCUUCAGUGGGCUGCCCAUGUCUGCUAAACUGGAACAGUGCCCUCCUUGGGGUUUACCAGUACUGAUUUCACUCAGGCUGUUACAAUACACACGCCUCGUGGGCCCCUCACACACAACUAGCCGAACAGUAGACUGAGUUCUAACUAAAUGGGAGAUUGGGUAUAUUAACACCUACGAUGAUGUGCACCUCUAACCUAACCGGAGAUGGGCCAACACCACAGCUACACACGGGCGCACUCACAUGCACUCCUAGCCAGCCUUCUAACCUAACAGGAGACAGUCCAAGUUAACAUUUACAACUAGCCAGCCUCCUAAGGUAGGCCAAGUUCACAUGCAAGUAACUGGACUUUCUGUUUUAAGAUGGAGUCUCACUCUAUCACCCAGGCUGGAGUGCAGUGACACGAUCUUGGCUCAUGGUAACCUCUGCCUCCUGGGUUCAAGCAAUUCUGCCUCAGCCUCCUGAGUAGCUGGGAUCACAGGUCCGUCACCACAUCCGGCUAAUUUUUGUAUUUUUAGUAGAGAUGGGGUUUCACCAUGUUAGCUGGUCUGAACUCCUGACCUCAGGUGAUCCUUGCUGUCCUUUUAACCUAACAGAUGGGCUGCCAUUGGUAACCUCACUUGAAAGCAACUGCCAUGUAUACACACACACACACACACACACACACACACACACGACUUGUAACCUAAUUUGAAAGCAGCUGAGCUGAGAACACCCAAGACCAGCCAGCCUUCCAGCCUAACUGUAGAUAGGUUAACACACACAACUAGCUUAGCUAAGCUUGUUACCUAACUGGAGAUAGGGUUUUCUGGCAGAUGGUUAUCCCCCAAACCCUGUUCCCCGAAUUCAUUCCCCCAUCCCCCCAAACCCUCUUCCCCCAUUUCACACCCCCAUUCCCACAGACCCUCUUCCCCCAACCCCAAAACCACCCCCGAUUCUUUUGUAAAGGGAUAGGCCAAGAGCACCACCACUAGCUGGUACUUGUAUCUGGAGACAGGAUGGGCGGUAGCGGGUGAGCUGACCUAAAGGGACAGGGAGAACUGCACAGGACUCGCUAGCCUCCCACCCUACUCAGAGGUGGGCGAGCCGGCACCGGCCAGCGGAAGGAAUCCCGCAAAGUCCAAGAACGCCGCUUGCUGCAGCCACUUUUCCGACCAGAUGGGUGGCUCUUAACAGAGCCUUUGAGGCGAGUCGCGCAGCCUCAGGUGGUGUGACGGCCCUCCCAGGCCCGCUCCCCGCGGAUACGGCGCACCAGCUGGAUGUCCCUGGGCAUCAUGGUGAUCCGCUGGGCGUGAAUGGCACACAGGUUGGUGUCCCCGAGCAGCCCCACCGGGUAGGCCUCGCAGGCCUGCAGCGCCAUCACGGCCGAGCUCUGGAAGCGUGGAUCAGCCGCUGGAAGGGCAGCUUGUGGAGCAGCAGCUCAGUGGACUUCGGGAAGCAGCGGAUCUCGCACAGCGCCACUGUCCCGGGUCGGUAGCGGUGCUUGGUUCGGGCCAUGGAGCCAACACCUCCCUGCGGCCGCUUCUACCCAGACUGCCCAGCCCUCAGCGAGUUGCCUGCUUUUAUAUCGCUUACCACAUUCCCAUUGGCCGGCCUCAGGCGGCGUGAUGGCCCGCUGCUCUCUGAUUGGCCCACAGGGUGCUCCCACCGACCGCCUCUCCCUUAUAUUUGCACCUGUUGGUCGCAGCCACCAGACCUGGCACCCGUCUUUUGAAGGGCAGAUGUGGGUAGGCCAGGUGAUGAGGAUCGUCUCUCUUCAGCACAAGCGUCCUCGUGUUUUCUCUGCGCCCCUCUUCUCCCUUCCCCAUCACCUGGUAGGAAGAGACUUCCAGAAGCCAGCACGUGGCAUUCCACUUUAUUUUGUAUUUAUUUAUUUAUUUUUUCUUGGAGACAGAGUCUCAUUCUUGUUGCCCAGGCUGGAGUGCAAUGGCGUGAUCUCUGCUCACUUGCAACCUCUGCCUCCUGGGUUCAAGCAGUUCUCCUGUCUCAGCCUCCUGAGUAGCUGGGAUUACAGGCACCCGCCACCACACUGGGCUAAUUUUUUGUAUUUUUAUUAGAGACGGGGUUUCACCAUGUUGACCAGGCUGGUUUCAAACUCCUGAGCUCAGGUGACACACCCACCUUGGCCUCCCAUAGAGCUGGGAUUACAGAGGUGAGCCAGCACGCCCACCACCAUGCUUCUUGUACAGCCUGGAAGACCAUAAGCCAAAUAAACCCUUUUUGUUUUUUAAAUAAAUCAUCCAGCCCCAGACUAAGACAGAAGCCAAGGGAAAUCUAUACAAACAAACUUGCAAGGCCUGUGGUCUUAUCAAAUCUCAGAACUAACUAGUGUUUGUCCACCUCUGUAUAUAAGUGGCUCUAACUGCCUAUUUGCAUCAUUUUCUUACAAGGGUUCCCAUGCCACAUUAAAUUUGUAUUAAAUAAAUGUGUGUUUUUCUCCUGCUUAUCUGUCUAAUGCCAGUCUAAUUCUUGGGCCCAGCCUGGACCCUAAACGAUGAAGGUGGAAUUCUGCCUUCCCUACAGCACCCAUUGUCUUGGUCUGUUUUGCGUUGCUGUAAAGGAAUACCAGAGGCUGGGUAAUUUGUCAAAACAUUUUUGGCUUAUGGUUCUGCAGGCUGUGCAAGAGGCAAGUGAGGGAUCUGUGAGGAUCACUCCCGUGUGAGGUCCCUAGGAAAUGGGCCUUGCCAUACGGUGAGCUUGAACCUGGACACAGAUCCCCAGUUGGGGGAGUCGAGCUGAGGGAAAGCAGGAACCGAGAAAGGGAAUAUGCUAUUCAAAAUAGUUAACAGACAUUACUUUAUGGAUAUGAGGACUUGGGAGGCAUUAUGUCCACUUUCAGCUUCUUAUGGUUUUAUUGCUUGAUUGUGUUCAUUUUGGACCCUUGUUACCUUCAUUGUAAAAUAUUAACUUAAGUAUUUACACUUGGUAACUUACCGUAACUUACUGGGUGUAACUGUAAUUUACCGUAACUUACUGGGCGUAACUGUAACUUGCUUACAAUUGUUAAGUACUUACUGGGCGUAAUUUACCGUAACUUACUGGGCGUAACUGACUUACUGGGCUUAACUUACUUACUGGGCGUAACUUAGUGGGCGCCCAGUUACAAGCAAGUAAGUAACUUGCUUACUGUAACUUAAGUAUGUUGAUCUGGCGUAAACAACAUCAACUUCAGAAAAGUAUAUAAUGAAACGUAUUGCAAAAAUAAAAUUGCUGCUUGGACAUAGCCUAAGCCAGCCCUCCAGACUCCGCUUUUCUAUUUUCUUUCACUUCCGCACUCUCUCCCUCGGGUUGAAUGAGACAUCUACGUUGGCGGUCUCGGGGACUCCUGCAGGGCCAUCAGAUACCCAUUUGGCAUCUACUGUGUGCCCGGCGUAACUGUUCGUACACUUGGGGUCAACGCGUCAGAUGAAAACGUGCCUCCCCAGAGCUUGCAAUUUCGUGGAGGAGGCGGUGAGGAGACGGAUUCUCCCUGUGCUGCCAGGCUGGCCUCCAACACCUGGGUUCUAGCAAUCCUCCCACCUCAGCCUCUGAUUACAGGCGUGAGCCACGACUGGCCCUCCCCGAUUGGGUGGACUCGGUGGUCAGCGGAAACUUGAUGGCGAGAGCGCGGCGGUCAAGCUGGCUUCUCCUGGGCGCUCUGCCGAGGAUGCCUGUGCAGCCUCCGGGGUCGCGGCGUCUUGGGCCUGGAAGGUGGGUGACAGCGGAUCCUGUUUUUCUGUGGCCGUGGGCGCCUCAACACUGCCGUCUGGGCCUUCAAAGCCUUCGCUUUGGCUUCGGUUUUAGGAGGAUCAGGAGCUUCUGUGCUUUCAGUGCCAUGUUGUGAAAAGCUCCUUUACUUUCUUAAAAAACUUGCGUUCACUUUAUGGAUUCACCCUGAAUUCUUUCUUGCGUGAGAUCCAAGAACCCUCUCUUGGCGUCUGGAUCGAGACCCUUUCUGGUAACAGCUCCUCAGUAAAGCUGGGAAAAAAUAAAAAUAGACCAAUAAAGCAUUCUCAACAACAAA
Callithrix jacchus (white-tufted-ear marmoset) is the source of this 5387-nucleotide non-coding RNA. NCBI's taxonomy places the organism in Eukaryota, Metazoa, Chordata, Mammalia, Primates, Cebidae. The record is from RefSeq and is a predicted model, not a curated record.